Molecule: long non-coding RNA, 810 nt
Filed under: Olea europaea subsp. europaea
Lineage: Eukaryota; Viridiplantae; Streptophyta; Magnoliopsida; Lamiales; Oleaceae
Source: RNAcentral
CAUAACCAAACCACCAUUCAUGUCCUUGGCAAUCUUACAUUUUUAUCUCGUUCGACUAUUAACUUCAUUGUCGAAAUGCAAACAGUCGUCUGACCUUUUUUCUCGAUCGACGCAUUUGCCUUUUAAUAAGGUCUUUAAUGUGUAGCUGAUGUCUACAUGGACAUGGCGAGGUCGAAAGCCUGUUGACAAAUUUUUUGGGGUCAACAGAUUGACGCCGUGACUGCCGUCUGUGAGAAUCUAUACAUUAACCAUUGUAUUACUACAUUCCAAAAGCCACCGGAAAAUAUGAUUUUUCGAACAGUGGUCUACUGAAAAACCAGCAAAUACAGCAAUUAAAGAGGAUUUUGUUCUGCCAAAAAGUGGAAGAAGUUGGCCACCGAAAAAGAGGAACUUUCCGGGCAGUCCUCUACCAAAAAAUCAAGAAGUCAGCCACAACAAAGGGAGAAAAUAGAGCUAAUGGAAGCAUCCAAAAAUUUUGUUGAAAAAAAAUAAAGAAUUUCUGGCAAGAAGAUCGGCCAUGAAAACAGUCAACUGAAGCUGAAAAUAUUCUUAGUAUGUGUUCGAUAUAGCUUGGAAUUCCAUUUUCCAAUUUUACCUUGUUUGAUAGCAUUUCCUCCCUAGAAUUGGUUUUCCAACUAUCUUGCCACAUGGGCCAAAUUUCACAUUUUCCUUGAAUGGUGAGAAUUCCAAUUCUCAGUUAUUGUAGUGGUAAUUUUUUUUCUAGGCAAAAUGGAAACAAAUUCUAAGAAUUAUUGUAAAAAAAUAUUUUAUUUAAUUGAUAAUUUUCAUGUUAAACAAAGUCAAACGAAC